CCCACUCCCAACGCCCUACCACAUGUGAAAAAGGGUAUAUAGUAUCACCAUAUGCUUGGUCUUGAAAUUGCAAAAAGAUCUGGUGUAUACGCUUGAUCAUUCACAACCUUGGUCCAGAAAUUGCAAAAGAAAUCUUGUGUGUACUACUUUUACUCAUGAUCACCAUGAAGUGUAGAUAUGCAUGGAAUGUUUUUGUUUUCAGGAUCAGUACGUUUUUUUUUUUUCAGAAUAAGGGUCUUUUUGAUACUGACAUUAUUGUUAUUGCUGAAGUUUAAAUUACAUUCAGUGAUAGCUCUAGUUUGUGUUAAUAUCAUCAAUUUAAUUUGUAAGUAUGUGUGUAAUUCAGUCAUUCAGUUCUUGAAGGGUCUGAUUAAGUGAGUAGUAUCUUUAUCAAUCUGACACAAAUUGAUGCAGACAUUUUGAUGUCUUCCAUGGUUCGUUCAAAAACACAGGCUUUCUUAGAUACAUUGUUAAAGUUUGUUUUAAUAGAGCAUUACUCUGCUGUAUUUUCUGUAUAGUGAAAUAAUUUGUAUGAUAUUUGUAAUAGUUUUAUUUCUGUACUUGGGGAUUUUCUGACGUAAACAGUAAUUGCCUUAAAAGUGAAAAUGGGAUGUUUGAAAGUUAAAAGCCGGUCAAAAGUCAAAGUCACAGCAUAGAGAAGUAUGUAUUACCUACUUACCAUAGACAUGCCAUCAUGGGGGUGUAUGUGUUUUCAAACAGCUCUUGUUCUUCUUUUCCUUAAGCAUCGUGCACUCAUUAAAGAAUGAUUUUAUAUUAUUGAAAUUUUGUUCUAAUUUUAUUUGACCUUAUUGAAUCUCAGAUCAAAGUAGCCUAGAGGGCUAGGAUUGGAAAUUUCAUUCAUCUCGAUGUGCCAAACUAAUUAAUUGCAGAUAAGUUUAAUUGAUAAACAUUCAUGGUGUCCUUUGCCGUCAAUGAUUUUUUUCACAGGGGGAGUGAAUUUUUAAUUAGCUUUUCCAAUUAUAGUGUCUUUACUUAAAAUAUUGGCUUAUAGUCCUCAAAUUUAAUUACGUUUUGUUAAAAUAGAAAAUGUAAAUUCACAUAUUUUCUAUCAGUUGAAAUCAGUAAGUCCUCAGGCCAGUUUGAAAUAACUUGCAAGAGAGAAUAAUAAUUGAAGAGAACACAUUCAAGCUGAAUUUGAAUUCAUGUCUCUGUUCUUAUUUUAAGACUCCCUGUCAUUUCUGAAUGUCAUAUCUCACUAUAAAUAUAAAGGUAAGGUCAGUUACCAGUGUUUAUGGUAUAACCAAAUGAAACCAAUCUAUGACCUUGUUGUGAGUUAUGACAUUGACUAUAAAAAUGACAACUGUUGGCGUUAAUGAAAUAUUAUAGAAAUAUGAAAGCAUGCUUGAAUAUACUGCCAAACAUACUGUUGUUUUUUGUUUUUAGCUCACCUGUCACAAAGUGACAAGGUGAGCUUUUGUGAUCGCGCAGCGUCCGUCGUCCGUGCGUGCGUGCGUCCGUCCGUGCGUGCGUGCGUAAACUUUUGCUUGUGACCACUCUAGAGGUCACGUUUUUCAUGGGAUCUUUAUGAAAAUUGGUCAGAAUGUUCCCCUUGAUGAUAUCUAGGUCAAGUUCGAAACUGGGUCACGUGCAGUCAAAAACUAGGUCAUUAGGUCUAAAAAUAGGAAAACCUUGUGACCUCUCUAGAAGCCAUAUAUUUCACAAGAUCUUCACGAAAAUUGGUCAGAAUGUUCACCUUGAUGAUAUCUAGGUCAAGUUCGAAACUGGGUCACGUGGGGUCAAAAACUAGGUCAUUAGGUUUAAAAAUAGAAAAACCUUGUGACCUCUCUAGAGGCCAUAUUUCUCAAUGGAUCUUCAUGAAAAUUAAUCAGAAUGUUCACCUUGAUGAUAUCUAGGUCAAGUUCGAAACUGGGUCACGUGGGGUUAAAAACUAGGUCAGUAGAUCUAAAAAUAGAAAAACCUUGUGACCUCUCUAGAGGCCAUAUUUUUCAUGAGAUCUUCAUGAAUAUUGGUCAGAAUGUUCACCUUGAUGAUAUCUAGGUCAGGUUCGAAACUGGGUCAUGUGGGGUCAAAAACUAGGUCAGUAGGUCUAAAAAUAGAAAAACCUUGUGACCUCUCUAGAGGCCAUAUUUCUCAAUGGAUCUUCAUGAAAAUUGGUCAGAAUGUUCAUCUUGAUGAUAUCUAGGUCAAGUUCGAAACUGGGUCACGUGGGGUUAAAAACUAGGUCAGUAGAUCUAAAAAUGGAAAAACCUUGUGACCUCUCCAGAGGCCAUAUUUUUCAUGAGAUCUUCAUGAAUAUUGGUCAGAAUGUUCACCUUGAUGAUAUCUAGGUCAAGUUCGAAACUGGGUCACGUGGGGUCAAAAACAAGGCCAGUAGGUCUAAAAAUAGAAAAACCUUGUGACCUCUCUAGAGGCCAUAUUUCUCAAUGGAUCUUCAUGAAAAUUGUUGAGAAUGUUCAGCUUGAUGAUAUUUAGGUCAGGUUCGAAAUUGGGUCAUGUGCGGUCAAAAACUAGAUCAGUAGGUCGAAAAAUAGAAAAACCUUGUGACCUCUCUAGAGGCCAUAUUUUUCACGGGAUCUUCAUGAAAAUUGGUGAGAAUGUUCACCUUGAUGAUAUCUAGGUCAAGUUUAUAAGUGGGUCACGUGCCUUCAAAAACUAGGUCAUUAGGUCAAAUAAUAGAAAAACCUUGUGACCUCUCUAGAGGCCAUAUUUUUCAAUGAAUCUUCAUGAAAAUUGGUCACAUGUGCUCAAAAACUAGGUCACUAUGUCAAAUAAUAGAAAUAACGACGUCAUACUCAGUUCAACACUGGGUCAUAUGGGGAUAGGUGAGCGAUUCAGGACCAUCAUGGUCCUCUUGUUUAUUUAUAGCUGAAAGGCUGUGGACAGUUUGACCAAAUAUUAUUAUGUUAUGCAACUUUGUGACCUUGUUGUUGGCAAUAUUGUUGAUCAAAGUGAUCUAUAAAUCACACUCUACUUAUCCUGUAAUGCAACUAGUAAAACAUGGCACUUAACCUGUAGCCUGCUAAAUUUCUAAAAUGGACUCGUCCAUUAUUCAGUUUUGGCAGUAACGUUUAUUAUUCGUAGAGACGUGAACUAAAAAUUUACUGACUGAAUAGCAAACAGUGCAGACCAUGAUCUUGGAAUACACUGUUCGCAAAGGCAAAAAUACUGACUGGCAGCAGGCUAAAGGUUAAUUAACUAAUGUACAGCUAGACAUUGUAUCUAACUGUAAAUGACAGUUAACAAGUCAGUUUUUUGAGGGCACACAUAGAGAUAAAUGUAUGUGUAGGUUUCACCAUCAAUUCAAGAUGAAUAUGCAACCAAACCUUUGACUUGUGUACAGUUUUCGUAACAGAAAUUGAAUACCCAGUGCUUUAUAAUUGUUACUUGCAAAAGAAUGCAUUACCACUGCAUUAUGUAAUGAAAAUAAAAACACAUUAUGAAAAUUAUUCAACCUGUUGAAGAACAGCACCAAUUUUAAAACAAACAAACAAAAAUGUCAUGCAGGGCCUAUUAAUUGUGCACUGGUUUUUAUUCAGUGCCAAUAAGUAAUUUCAAAUAUAAUCAAUAGAGAUAUCAUUUGAAAAGUCUUGAUAGGUGUCAUUAAGGGAAAUUUGUAUGAAUGGUAUUUGUAAGCAUUUUGUAUGGGAAGUAGCAUUUUUAUGGAAAGUAGCAUUUUAAUGGGAAGUAACAUUAGCAUUUAUGAAAAGUAGCAUGAAGCAUCUUUUAUGGGAAGUAUUUGUUGUGGAGUUGGGUACAUCUGUGUGUAUGUGUAGAGGAAGUCGGGUUGGUUUUGGUAACAGCGUAAACACAUAAAAGAACAGAUAUUACAAUAAUUAAAUACACGCAGAAUUAAAAUCUCUGUCUUAGAAAUGUAAUAAUAGUCAUUAUAAGGACUGAAAUGUUGCUUCGUAUACAUGUUAUAAACAUCAUGCUGACAACAUUGAUAUCAUCAGAGCCAAUGAAAAAUAUUUUUUCAGUCAGUCACUAAUGAAUCAUUAGCCAAAUGAUUGGAGUAAGUUUAUUUGCACCCAGCACACGUUCUACAUGUAAACCAAAGCUUUAUACAUAUUAAUGCCUUUGCAAGUGUUUUACUCUGGUUGUAUGUCUUCAUGUAACAAGACUUACGUUGUUUUUUCAUGUUUUGUGACAAAAAUAUAUUUUAUUGAAAUGGAGCAUGUCUGCCAUUGAGAAAUAACACAGUCAAGAACUUGUGGGCCAUUGAGAAAUAACACAGGAUUCAUGUCUGCCAUUGAGAAAUAACACAGGAACUUAUCUGCCAUUGAGAAAUAACACAGUCAAGAACUUGUGGGCCAUUGAGAAAUAACACAGGAUUCAUGUCUGCCAUUGAGAAAUAACACAGGAACUUAUCUGCCAUUGAGAAAUAACACAGUCAAGAACUUGUGGGCCAUUGAGAAAUAACACAGGAUUCAUGUCUGCCAUUGAGAAAUAACACAGGAACUUAUCUGCCAUUGAGAAAUAACACAGUCAAGAACUUGUGGGUCAUUGAGAAAUAACACAGGACUCAUGUCUGCCGUUGAGAAAUAACACAAGAACUCACGUCUGCCAUUGAGAAAUAAUACAAGAACUCAUGUCUGCCAUUGAGAAAUAACACAAGAACUCAUGUCUGCCGUUGAGAAAUAAUACAAGAACUCAUCAUUGCCAUUGAGAAAUAAUACAAGAACUCAUGUCUGCCAUUGAGAAAUAACACAAGAACUCAUGAUUGCCAUUGAGAAAUAACACAAGAACUCAUGAUCGCUAUUAAGAAAUAACACAAGAACUCAUGUCUGCCAUUGAGAAAUAACACAAGAACUCAUGUCUGCCAUUGAGAAAUAAUACAAGAACUCAUCAUUGCCAUUGAGAAAUAACACAAGAACUCAUGAUUGCCAUUGAGAAAUAACACAAGAACUCAUGAUUGCUAUUGAGAAAUAACACAAGAACUCAUGUCUGCCAUUGAGAAAUAACACAAGAACUCAUGUCUGCCAUUGAGAAAUAACACAAGAAGUGAAAACAAUCAGAUGUCACAUUUAUAGUAGAAUUUCCAGUAAAACAAACGUAUAUUUUUGAUGUAGCAUGGAAAGCACCAGGUUUUAAAAUGAAUUAAGAUGUGUCUUCUGAAUAAUCAUGUGACCGAUUGAUAUGUAAUAGAAAUAAAGUACAGUUUGUGAAAUUGGCUGCAAUUUGUAGCAUGGUUGGAUGAAAUUAUUGUUUGUCACUGUUUUGAUUUCUGGCUCAGAAAAUAAAAAAGAUCCCUUCUUUUAAUUUUCAGUUAUCUUUAUGCUCUUCUUCAGUAUACAAAUUGUGACUUUUUUCAGUUUGCAGCAUUUUGCUAAAGUUUAGUAUAUAAAGUGUAUUAUGUUGUUGAACAUACUGUCAUUAGACAGGUUUUUACCAUCUCUUAUAUGAAUUGUUUCCCUGGUUACCAUACUGUUGUCAUUAAUUAUAAUAACUUCAGUGGUGGACAGACUAAUAGCUAUUUAAUGAUAUCAAACACUCUAUAAAUAGCACCUGAUAACUUGAGCUAUGACAUACUGAUUGAUAGAUAUGUUCUUAUUUUUCCAUUAUAUAAGGACUGGUGUAUAAAUCAGCCCACCAAGUUAGCUCUGUAGGUGAUGUACAAGAGGAUGAAUCAAGUGGUCUCCAGUUUGAUUACCAGGUGAAGUGUAUGUCCUACCUGAUCUUUUUGAAGUCUGAAGUCAUUUUAGAAUUGACAAAUUAACAACAGGGUGUAUGUACAUCAUAUUACAUAUAUUCUUCAGACUGAAUGUAAAUUGGGACUAAGAAAUACGAUUCUUUGUUUGAUUUUGAUGACAUCAAUUUUUAGCUCACCUGUCACAUAGUGACAAGGUGAGCUUUUGUGAUCACCCUUCGUCCGUCGUUUGUGCGUCCGUGCGUCAACAGUUUCUUGUCUGCACGAUAGUGGUUUCAUUUAUGAUUUUAUUUCAACCAAACUUGCACACAACUUGUAUCACCAUAAGAUCUCGGUUCCUUUCUUCAACUGGCCAGAUCCCAUUAUGGGUUUCAGAGUUAUGGCCCCUGAAAGGGCCAAAAUUAGCUAUUUUGACCUUGUCUGCACAAUAGCAGCUUUAUUUAUGAUUUGAUUUUUACCAAACUGGCACACAACUUGUAUCACCAUAAGAUCUUGGUUCCUUUCUUGAACUGGCCAGAUCCCAUUAUGGGUUCCAGAGUUAUGGCCCCUUAAAGGGCCAGAAUUAGCUAUUUUGACCUUGUCUGCACAAUAGCAGCUUCAUUUAUGAUUUUAUUUUAACCAAACUUGCACACAACUUUUAUCACCAUAAGAUCUUGGUUCCUUUGUUGAACUGGCGAGAUUCCUUUAUGGGUUGUAGAGUUAUGGCCCCUGAAAGGGCCAAAAUUGGCUAUUUUGACCUUGUCUACACAAUAGCAGCUUCAUUUAUGAUUUGAAUUUAAUCAAACUUGCACAAAACUUGUGUCACCAUAAGAUCUCAGUUCCUUUCUUGAACCGGCUAGAUCCCAUUAUGGGUUCCAGAGUUAUGGCCCCUGAAAGGGCCAGAAUUAGCUAUUUUGACCUUGUCUGCACAAUAGCAGCUUCAUUUAUGAUUUGAUUUUAACCAAACUUGCACACAACUUGUAUCACCACAAGGUCUUGGUUCCUUUCUUGAACUGGCCAAAUUCCAUCAUGGGUUCCAGAGUUAUGGCCCCUUAAAGGUCCAAAAUUGGCUAUUUUGGCUUUUGCAGCCAUAUAGAGGCUUCAUUUAUGGUUUUAUUUGAUACAAACUUCCAAAAUAUCUUCAACAACAAUAAAUCUUAGAUUCCAUGACAAAUCAGAUCCAAUCGUAGGUUCCAGAGUUAUUUUAUAUCUGAUAACCUCCCCUGAUUGUAAUCAAAAUGGAAUUAUAUCAGUAAGUACUUAUAGGACUUAUUUGAAAUUUCAUUAUUGUCAUUAGUUGGACUGAGACAAUCAGGGUAAAUAACUAUGGACUGAUUUUAUGUCAAAUUACCUCCCUUUAUUUCAAAUUAAAAUGUGUAUAUCUCUGUAACUAAUGAAGAUACUGAUCUGAAAUUUCAUUUAUGUCAACAGAUUUAUUUGGCGGAUCCUUCUUUUGUUCACUUACAAUAAUUUUUUUUAAUUACUUCCCUUUUACGUUACUAUAAAUAGCUUAUUUUUAGUAAUUUUUUUAUUAUUGGCCGUAGGGAAAAACCGAGACCACUUUUCUGUGGUACAACAUGGAUGGUACCUCCAAUUUUUAGGUGCAUUUUGACAUAUCUGUACCUUGUAAGAAUUGUUUUUUCUUUUUGGUUAAAUUUUUUCCCUUUGUUGUUCCUGUCCCUUGGACAUAAAUAUUUUUACUGAGGACCUUCUUGUCCUCAAGUGCAAUGAUAACAGGUGAGCGAUAUAGGGCCAUCAUGGCCCUCUUGUUCAAAUUUAAUGAUAUUUGGCCAGAGGCAAUUAUAUUUCUUAAAAUGUUUACUCCUUAAGUCAUGGUGCAUCGGCCAGACUAAUAAAAAGUGGUUCUCAUUUUCAAUGGUAUUCAUAUUACACAAUUUACAGAGUCUCUGUUUUUGCGGAGUAUCAUUGCAUCUUCCAGUUUCUAUGAAAAGAUUAUGAUUGUGAUGAAUUUUUAAAUCUAGAUAAAACAAAUAUGUAUUUGUUAUCAUCAGUAAGUGCUUUCAAAUAUUCUUCUAGUUUAAAUUCAAAUAUAAAGAUACAGUAUGACUAUUACCAGGUAUCUUUACAGUUCCGCCAAGUUGCUCUGUCAGUGAAAUUGCUCCAUUUCAUUCAAAUCUGGCCAUUAUAUUUUACAGUUGUCACAUCAACUGUAUGUAUUAAAUUUAAUGGCAAACUGUAAAGCUAAUGCUAGCUUGGAAUUAAUAUCUGAAAACUGCUGUAUUCAACUUAUAACCUGUACUUAAUAGGCUUGUUGUCAUUUAGAUGUUAUUUGCAUAUUUAAUAAUGGUUUCAGUUUAUGUCUUUAGAUGUGCGAAAGUCAUCCAGGCCCUUUCAAGACUAAAUUUGAUUGGCUAUUGAUAAAAGAAUAUUUCUUUUCAUUAGUUAAGUUAUUGCAAAUCUUGAUCUUGCAUAAUUUAAGAUUCAUGGAGUCAAGUUUUAGACAAAAAGGUGAAAAGAUGUUCUGAAAGUUCCUGGCAUUUCUUGCCAGAAAUAAAGAGGCAUAUCCUUGACUUACAUUGAGUCUGUCAAUUUAAAAUUGAAAGAACAUUUUUAACUUUGUCAUUUAAAUACAGGAUUUAUGUGUAUUUGUUGUAACCUCUUAACAUUGGAGAUUUAUUAUUCAUUGGAACUUUGUUAGAACUUUCUUGAGAUUUUUUUUAUCUAAAUGGAAAACUCAAAUUAAACAUGAAAAACAG
This is a long non-coding RNA of Mercenaria mercenaria, 8325 nucleotides long. RefSeq lists it as uncharacterized. The record is from RefSeq and is a predicted model, not a curated record. NCBI's taxonomy places the organism in Eukaryota, Metazoa, Mollusca, Bivalvia, Venerida, Veneridae. The transcript is spliced from 2 exons.